UGUGAACUCGAAGAGUAGGGCGGGACACGUGGUAUCCUGUCUGAAUAUGGGGGGACCAUCCUCCAAGGCUAAAUACUCCUGACUGACCGAUAGUGAACCAGUACCGUGAGGGAAAGGCGAAAAGAACCCCGGCGAGGGGAGUGAAAAAGAACCUGAAACCGUGUACGUACAAGCAGUGGGAGCACCUUCGGGUGUGACUGCGUACCUUUUGUAUAAUGGGUCAGCGACUUAUAUUCUGUAGCAAGGUUAACCGUAUAGGGGAGCCGCAGGGAAACCGAGUCUUAACUGGGCGUUAAGUUGCAGGGUAUAGACCCGAAACCCGGUGAUCUAGCCAUGGGCAGGUUGAAGGUUGGGUAACACUAACUGGAGGACCGAACCGACUAAUGUUGAAAAAUUAGCGGAUGACUUGUGGCUGGGGGUGAAAGGCCAAUCAAACCGGGAGAUAGCUGGUUCUCCCCGAAAGCUAUUUAGGUAGCGCCUCGUGAACUCAUCUUCGGGGGUAGAGCACUGUUUCGGCUAGGGGGUCAUCCCGACUUACCAACCCGAUGCAAACUACGAAUACCGAAGAAUGUUAUCACGGGAGACACACGGCGGGUGCUAACGUCCGUCGUGAAGAGGGAAACAACCCAGACCGCCAGCUAAGGUCCCAAAGUCAUGGUUAAGUGGGAAACGAUGUGGGAAGGCACAGACAGCCAGGAUGUUGGCUUAGAAGCAGCCAUCAUUUAAAGAAAGCGUAAUAGCUCACUGGUCGAGUCGGCCUGCGCGGAAGAUGUAACGGGGCUAAACCAUGCACCGAAGCUGCGGCAGCGACACUAUGUGUUGUUGGGUAGGGGAGCGUUCUGUAAGCCUGCGAAGGUGUGCUGUGAGGCAUGCUGGAGGUAUCAGAAGUGCGAAUGCUGACAUAAGUAACGAUAAAGCGGGUGAAAAGCCCGCUCGCCGGAAGACCAAGGGUUCCUGUCCAACGUUAAUCGGGGCAGGGUGAGUCGACCCCUAAGGCGAGGCCGAAAGGCGUAGUCGAUGGGAAACAGGUUAAUAUUCCUGUACUUGGUGUUACUGCGAAGGGGGGACGGAGAAGGCUAUGUUAGCCGGGCGACGGUUGUCCCGGUUUAAGCAUGUAGGCUGAUUGUCCAGGCAAAUCCGGAUAAUCAAGGCUGAGGUGUGAUGACGAGGCACUACGGUGCUGAAGUAACAAAUGCCCUGCUUCCAGGAAAAGCCUCUAAGCAUCAGGUAACAUCAAAUCGUACCCCAAACCGACACAGGUGGUCAGGUAGAGAAUACCAAGGCGCUUGAGAGAACUCGGGUGAAGGAACUAGGCAAAAUGGUGCCGUAACUUCGGGAGAAGGCACGCUGGUGUGUAGGUGAAGUCCCUGCGGAUGGAGCUGAGACCAGUCGAAGAUACCAGCUGGCUGCAACUGUUUAUUAAAAACACAGCACUGUGCAAACACGAAAGUGGACGUAUACGGUGUGACGCCUGCCCGGUGCCGGAAGGUUAAUUGAUGGGGUUAUCCGUAAGGAGAAGCUCUUGAUCGAAGCCCCGGUAAACGGCGGCCGUAACUAUAACGGUCCUAAGGUAGCGAAAUUCCUUGUCGGGUAAGUUCCGACCUGCACGAAUGGCGUAAUGAUGGCCAGGCUGUCUCCACCCGAGACUCAGUGAAAUUGAACUCGCUGUGAAGAUGCAGUGUACCCGCGGCAAGACGGAAAGACCCCGUGAACCUUUACUAUAGCUUGACACUGAACAUUGAGCCUUGAUGUGUAGGAUAGGUGGGAGGCUUUGAAGCGUGGACGCCAGUCUGCGUGGAGCCAACCUUGAAAUACCACCCUUUAAUGUUUGAUGUUCUAACGUUGGCCCCUUACCGGGGUUGCGGACAGUGUCUGGUGGGUAGUUUGACUGGGGCGGUCUCCUCCCAAAGCGUAACGGAGGAGCACGAAGGUUAGCUAAUCCUGGUCGGACAUCAGGAGGUUAGUGCAAUGGCAUAAGCUAGCUUGACUGCGAGCGUGACGGCGCGAGCAGGUGCGAAAGCAGGUCAUAGUGAUCCGGUGGUUCUGAAUGGAAGGGCCAUCGCUCAACGGAUAAAAGGUACUCCGGGGAUAACAGGCUGAUACCGCCCAAGAGUUCAUAUCGACGGCGGUGUUUGGCACCUCGAUGUCGGCUCAUCACAUCCUGGGGCUGAAGUAGGUCCCAAGGGUAUGGCUGUUCGCCAUUUAAAGUGGUACGCGAGCUGGGUUUAGAACGUCGUGAGACAGUUCGGUCCCUAUCUGCCGUGGGCGCUGGAGAAUUGAGGGGGGCUGCUCCUAGUACGAGAGGACCGGAGUGGACGCAUCACUGGUGUUCGGGUUGUCAUGCCAAUGGCACUGCCCGGUAGCUAAAUGCGGAAGAGAUAAGUGCUGAAAGCAUCUAAGCACGAAACUUGCCCCGAGAUGAGUUCUCCCUGAGACUUUAAGUCUCCUGAAGGAACGUUGAAGACGACGACGUUGAUAGGCCGGGUGUGUAAGCGCAGCGAUGCGUUGAGCUAACCGGUACUAAUGAACCGUGAGGCUUAACCUU
RNAcentral lists this ribosomal RNA (2545 nucleotides) under Klebsiella pneumoniae. Its description in RNAcentral is "partial 23S ribosomal RNA". It matches the Rfam family "Bacterial large subunit ribosomal RNA", at positions 398 to 2925 of the family's 2925-position model. Lineage: Bacteria; Pseudomonadati; Pseudomonadota; Gammaproteobacteria; Enterobacterales; Enterobacteriaceae. The record is from RNAcentral.